Molecule: unclassified non-coding RNA, 403 nt
Filed under: Hevea brasiliensis (rubber tree)
Lineage: Eukaryota; Viridiplantae; Streptophyta; Magnoliopsida; Malpighiales; Euphorbiaceae
Source: RNAcentral
UCGGAGAUCCGCCACCCUCUUUUGAAGAGGAGGGUGUGGCUCGGCACCUUCGAGACAGCCGAGGAGGCGGCAAGAGCCUACGAUGAGGCUGCUGUGCUCAUGAGCGGCCGCAAUGCCAAGACCAACUUCCCUGUCACCCGCAGCGAAGACAACCAGCCGCUUACCACGCUUACCUCCGCGUCACCGACUGGCCUGUCCGAGAUCCUGAGUGCCAAGCUCAGAAAGUGCUGCAAGGCUCCGUCCCCGUCACUCACCUGCCUCCGUCUCGACACCGAGAAGUCUCAUAUUGGUGUGUGGCAGAAGCGUGCUGGUGCUCGAGCGGACUCCAACUGGGUCAUGACAGUUGAGCUUGGAAAGACUGGUCAGAAGCCGCAGACACUCGAUGAUGAGGAUGAUGAUGAUG